This 328-nucleotide ribosomal RNA is filed under the name uncultured Bacteroidota bacterium. RNAcentral describes it as "bacterial SSU rRNA". It matches the Rfam family "Bacterial small subunit ribosomal RNA", at positions 28 to 351 of the family's 1533-position model. The record is from RNAcentral. Lineage: Bacteria; Pseudomonadati; Bacteroidota.
GAUGAACGCUAGCGGGAGGCUUAACACAUGCAAGUCGAGGGGCAGCACGAGGUAGCAAUACUUUGGUGGCGACCGGCGCACGGGUGAGUAACGCGUAUGCAACCUACCCUGUACUGGGGGAUAACCCGGAGAAAUUCGGACUAAUACCCCAUAAAGAUAUGAAGAGGCAUCUUUUUAUAUUUAAAGUUCCGACGGUACGGGCUGGGCAUGCGUAAGAUUAGCUAGUUGGUAGGGUAAUGGCCUACCAAGGCUCCGAUCUUUAGGGGUCCUGAGAGGGUGAUCCCCCACACUGGUACUGAGACACGGACCAGACUCCUACGGGAGGCAG